CCAAUAGCGUAUAUUAAAGUUGCUGCAGUUAAAAAGCUUGUAGUUGAAUUUCGGGACUGAUAUAUCGGUCGUGCCUCGGUACGUACUGGUAUCUUCAGUUUCUCCCUUCUGACGAACCUUGAUGUCAUUAAUUUGGUGUCUUGGGGAAUCAGGACUGUUACUUUGAAAAAAUUAGAGUGUUUAAAGCAGGCUCACGCUUGAAUACAUUAGCAUAGAAUAA
Molecule: ribosomal RNA, 220 nt
Filed under: uncultured Glomus
Lineage: Eukaryota; Fungi; Glomeromycota; Glomeromycetes; Glomerales; Glomeraceae
Description: partial small subunit ribosomal RNA
Rfam family: Eukaryotic small subunit ribosomal RNA
Source: RNAcentral